Long non-coding RNA from Argiope bruennichi, 600 nucleotides. RefSeq lists it as uncharacterized. The record is from RefSeq and is a predicted model, not a curated record. The transcript is spliced from 3 exons. NCBI's taxonomy places the organism in Eukaryota, Metazoa, Arthropoda, Arachnida, Araneae, Araneidae.
AUAUUCUGCCAUCUUGCUACCAUUUAUUGCUGUUACUGAAAUUUCUCUUGCUGAUGAAAUUGAACUAUAUGAUACUCUGUCAUUGGAUUAUAACCAGAUUUUGCAUUUAAUUGGAAGAAACUUUUGAAUGUGAUGUAGGAGACGUUGGUGGCCUCUUGAGCAUAUUGCAUAUCAUUUCAAGAUUGCUGGAUGUUUAACUACAAGUUCCACUAUGUUUUCAAAUCAUCAGUGAAAAAAACAGGGCUGGAUGCCAGUUUGAAAAAGGAGAUCCAAUAUUUUCUUCUACCGAUUUAACAAGGUGUCUCUACUGCAACCAUGUUUGAAUAAAAAUGAAAUUUUUGAUUAUGGCUUAUGACUUUAUUCCACCGAUGGUAUGUAAUAAAAGCAAGCUUCGUACGUGUUCGUUGUCGUUCCUAUGUUCUAUCUUGAUACGGUUAAGAACUUCGCUGAAGGAAGGAUCGUUCAUUUCAGUUAUGAUCAUGGCCCAUGGCUCUAGAGAGGCCAAUUCCGAAACAGCCCUCAUCUAGCUUCAAGGAGAGGUAUUAAUUAAACAAACAAAUUAAACAUUGGAUUAAGGCCGGUGGAGUUCACUUGGGACAU